Molecule: ribosomal RNA, 467 nt
Filed under: uncultured bacterium
Lineage: Bacteria
Description: partial 16S ribosomal RNA
Rfam family: Bacterial small subunit ribosomal RNA
Source: RNAcentral
GACGAACGCUGGCGGCGUGCUUAACACAUGCAAGUCGAACGGAAAGGCCCUGCUUUUGUGGGGUGCUCGAGUGGCGAACGGGUGAGUAACACGUGAGUAACCUGCCCUUGACUUUGGGAUAACUUCAGGAAACUGGGGCUAAUACCGGAUAGGAGCUCCUGCUGCAUGGUGGGGGUUGGAAAGUUUCGGCGGUUGGGGAUGGACUCGCGGCUUAUCAGCUUGUUGGUGGGGUAGUGGCUUACCAAGGCUUUGACGGGUAGCCGGCCUGGGAGGGUGACCGGCCACAUUGGGACUGAGGUACGGCCCAGACUCCUACGGGAGGCAGCGGUGGGGAAUAUUGCACAUUGGGCGGAAGCCUGAUGCAGCAACGCCGCGUGCGGGAUGACGGCCUUCGGGUUGUAAACCGCUUUCGCCUGUGACGAAGCGUGAGUGACGGUAAUGGGUAAAGAAGCACCGGCUAACUACGU